GCGCAGAAUAGGCUGGGGGGUUAGGCGUCCCCUGUAACCAGAAAUCGCCUUUGCUGGAGCCGAAGCCGUCAGGGCGGCGCAAAUAACAGGCACCGAUCCAGCAUUGGACGAUGAUGUCUCGUCCUCUGGGGCUGGAGGUGGCAUGUACGCCAGCUGGAGAGUUGGCGAUUAUGCCUUCGCCUCGGCCAGAGGAUUAGGCCCGGAAGGGAGCGGUCCAGCCGAGGACUGCCGGUGCUCAGAGGGGUGCGGGACUGAGGAAAAUGUUGGGGCAAUCGGUGUCUGUUGUUUGCGUCCACCUGUGGCGUUUCUGCGC
This 313-nucleotide signal recognition particle RNA is filed under the name Thermoplasmata archaeon. Its description in RNAcentral is "signal recognition particle sRNA". It matches the Rfam family "Archaeal signal recognition particle RNA". RNAcentral also lists the same sequence under 1 other name. The record is from RNAcentral. Lineage: Archaea; Methanobacteriati; Thermoplasmatota; Thermoplasmata.